UGCUUCCUAGCUCCACUCUCCCUCCGGU
Molecule: small RNA, 28 nt
Filed under: Bombyx mori (domestic silkworm)
Lineage: Eukaryota; Metazoa; Arthropoda; Insecta; Lepidoptera; Bombycidae
Description: piRNA piR-bmo-2015456
Source: RNAcentral